This 79-nucleotide unclassified non-coding RNA is filed under the name Trypanosoma cruzi. RNAcentral's name for it is "spliced leader RNA, 5' partial". Lineage: Eukaryota; Euglenozoa; Kinetoplastea; Trypanosomatida; Trypanosomatidae. The record is from RNAcentral.
AUAUUGGUACGCGAAGCUUCCAACCCGCCUCUGGCGGUUAUGUUUGGUCAAUUUCUUUUGACCGGGGUUUACGGACCCC